GAUGAACGCUGGCGGCGUGCCUAAUACAUGCAAGUCGAGCGAACGGACGAGAAGCUUGCUUCUCUGAUGUUAGCGGCGGACGGGUGAGUAACACGUGGAUAACCUACCUAUAAGACUGGGAUAACUUCGGGAAACCGGAGCUAAUACCGGAUAAUAUUUUGAACCGCAUGGUUCAAAAGUGAAAGACGGUCUUGCUGUCACUUAUAGGUGGAUCCGCGCUGCAUUAGCUAGUUGGUAAGGUAACGGCUUACCAAGGCAGCGAUGCAUAGCCGACCUGAGAGGGUGAUCGGCCACACUGGAACUGAGACACGGUCCAGACUCCUACGGGAGGCAGCAGUAGGGAAUCUUCCGCAAUGGGCGAAAGCCUGACGGAGCAACGCCGAGUGAGUGAUGAAGGUCUUCGGAUCGUAAAACUCUGUUAUUAGGGAAGAACAUAUGUGUAAGUAACUGUGCACAUCUUGACGGUACCUAAUCAGAAAGCCACGGCUAACUACGUG
This 497-nucleotide ribosomal RNA is filed under the name uncultured bacterium. Its description in RNAcentral is "partial 16S ribosomal RNA". It matches the Rfam family "Bacterial small subunit ribosomal RNA", at positions 28 to 507 of the family's 1533-position model. The record is from RNAcentral.